GUAGGGUGCGAGCGUUAAUCGGAAUUACUGGGCGUAAAGCGUGCGCAGGCGGUUUGUUAAGAUAGGCGUGAAUCCCCGGGCUCAACCUGGGAACUGCGCUUAUGACUGGCAAGCUAGAGUACGGCAGAGGGGGGUGGAAUUCCACGUGUAGCAGUGAAAUGCGUAGAGAUGUGGAGGAACACCAAUGGCGAAGGCAGCCCCCUGGGUCGAUACUGACGCUCAUGCACGAAAGCGUGGGUAGCAAACAGGAUUAGAUACCCUGGUAGUCCACGCCCUAAACGAUGUCAACUAGGUGUUGGGAGGGUAAAACCUUUUAGUACCGGAGCUAACGCGUGAAGUUGACCGCCUGGGGAGUACGGCCGCAAGGUUA
This 370-nucleotide ribosomal RNA is filed under the name uncultured organism. RNAcentral describes it as "bacterial SSU rRNA". It matches the Rfam family "Bacterial small subunit ribosomal RNA", at positions 527 to 896 of the family's 1533-position model. The record is from RNAcentral.